This 429-nucleotide ribosomal RNA is filed under the name Fusobacteriota bacterium. Its description in RNAcentral is "Fusobacteria bacterium partial 16S ribosomal RNA". It matches the Rfam family "Bacterial small subunit ribosomal RNA", at positions 355 to 776 of the family's 1533-position model. Lineage: Bacteria; Fusobacteriati; Fusobacteriota. The record is from RNAcentral.
UGGGGAAUAUUGCGCAAUGGGCGAAAGCCUGACGCAGCGACGCCGCGUGAGGGAUGAAGGUUUUCGGAUCGUAAACCCCUUUCAGAAGGGAAGAAACCGCACUGUGCUAAUCAGCAGUGCCUUGACGGUACCUUCAAAGGAAGCACCGGCUAACUCCGUGCCAGCAGCCGCGGUAAUACGGAGGGUGCAAGCGUUAAUCGGAAUUACUGGGCGUAAAGCGCACGUAGGCUGCUUUGUAAGUCAGGGGUGAAAUCCCACGGCUCAACCGUGGAACUGCCUUUGAUACUGCUUAGCUUGGAGCCGGGAGAGGGUGGCGGAAUUCCAGGUGUAGGAGUGAAAUCCGUAGAUAUCUGGAGGAACAUCAGUGGCGAAGGCGGCCACCUGGACCGGUAUUGACGCUGGGGUGCGAAAGCGUGGGGGGCAAACAGG